GGGAGUUUAGCUCAGCUGGUUUAGAGCACUUGCCUUACAAGCAAGGGGUCAAUGGUUCGAAUCCGUUAACUCCCACCA
This 78-nucleotide transfer RNA is filed under the name Bacteroidales bacterium. RNAcentral's name for it is "tRNA-Val". It matches the Rfam family "tRNA". Rfam says of the family: Transfer RNA (tRNA) molecules are approximately 80 nucleotides in length. Their secondary structure includes four short double-helical elements and three loops (D, anti-codon, and T loops). Further hydrogen bonds mediate the characteristic L-shaped molecular structure. tRNAs have two regions of fundamental functional importance: the anti-codon, which is responsible for specific mRNA codon recognition, and the 3' end, to which the tRNAs corresponding amino acid is attached (by aminoacyl-tRNA synthetases). tRNAs cope with the degeneracy of the genetic code in two manners: having more than one tRNA (with a specific anti-codon) for a particular amino acid; and 'wobble' base-pairing, i.e. permitting non-standard base-pairing at the 3rd anti-codon position. Lineage: Bacteria; Pseudomonadati; Bacteroidota; Bacteroidia; Bacteroidales. The record is from RNAcentral.